RNAcentral lists this long non-coding RNA (1186 nucleotides) under Homo sapiens (human). Its description in RNAcentral is "HSALNT0407309". The record is from RNAcentral. Lineage: Eukaryota; Metazoa; Chordata; Mammalia; Primates; Hominidae.
AAAGUGCUGGGAUUACAGGCGUGAGCCACCCUGCCUGGCCUAAGCAACCACAUCUUGCAUGAACUAACUGAGCGAGAACUCACUUAUCACUGAAGGGAUGGCGCUACACCAUUCACGAGGGGCUAUUCCCAUGAUCCAAUCACCUCCCACCAGGCCCCACCUCCAACAGUGGGGAUCACAUUUCAACAUGAGAUUUGGAGAGGACAAACAUCCAAACGAUAUCAGGCUGAAAACACGGCUGGCACUUGAAACUUUAGAGAAGUCACCUUUUCCCUGGGCUCCUCGCUCUGGUCUCCCUGAGACUGUCACAGCGGCUUCAUAGGUGCUUCGAGUUUCUUUGCCACCCCCUGAUCAGGCCUUCUGUGUUUUGUAGUAGUCGCCUUCCCAGAUUUAUUGAGUAGCUCAGCUGAACCAAGGUCUGAGCAUUCAAUUAGGUCUUGUUAUUCAUCCGUUCACCAAAUAUUUAGUGAGCCAUGUGCCAGGCACAUUUCUAGCUGCUGAUACAGCUGUGAACAAGACAGAUGAAGCCCUUGCCCUUCGUGGAGCUCACAUUUUAAUAAAUAGUUUGGAGGCGGACAAAGAGAAAAUAAACAGAGAAACACGAACCUGGAGCAUUUGGCUCACAACUUAGAGUUGACUCAUCUUCAGUUUGACGUCCCUCCUGCUACGAGUUCCUGGCUAACUGACAUCUCUUCUCCUCAAGCAGAUGCUAACUUUGAGCCCUACCACUGAUGGCAUUUGAGGGGGAGAGGAUAAGCCAAGGGAAGAGGAAAAUCAAAAUGCUUUCAGCAGCACGGCUUCCGCAUGCUGGAGAGGUGGUGUAUGGGGUUGCGGCUUGGCCUGUUUUCUGAAACCUGCAAGGUAGCACCCUGAAGGUAGCUUGUAACCCUCCACUCUCACACCAAGGAAGCGGCCACCUGUCUCCCAGCUGUCUGGGACUGUCUGCUGGAGCAAGUGACAUCACAGUGACCAGAAACCACCUCCCCUUUGUCUGGAGCAGUUAUGAUGUCAUUCCCUCUGGCAGCGAAGCAGGAUGUUGGCAGCUGGGAUUCCUCCGGGUCCUCCUGAAGUGAUAAUUGCCUUAGAUUUUGUUAUAAAGUGCAGCUGCUAAUUAUCUUGUUAAAUCACAGCCAUAUACUUUUUGGAUCUUUUUUUCCUUUGCAAUCCAUUUAAACAAUCUGGGAGA